UAAAUUCUGUCAUCUGCUCAUUAUUGGUGUUAAUGGUGUUUUUUACAUGCAUGCUUUUUAAUGCUAGUUUAAUUCCCAAAUAGAUCUGAUACUUUAGUUUCAACAAAUCUUUAAUAAACAAAUGGUUAACUUUUUUUAGGUCCUGACUGCCACCAGUUGAGUCAAUGAUUCAGUGAGUUGCUUAUAAGAAAAGAUAUUAAUCUGUUACCACCUAGUAGUUUAACUUUAUUAUUUAUUGCUGUAAAAUUAACACAUAUUUAUCAUCAAGUGGAGAGACAGUCUGGGCAGCAGCAACAAGACAACUAUUACAAGUAGAGAUGGGUUUUAAGAACUGACACAACCACAUAUCAUCCAAAUCAUCUCCAAGUGGAUGGCAGCAAGGAUCCAGGAUCAAGAGAUGAUUCAUCAUGAAGACUGUUCCAUAGGAAGCAGUGAAUCCUGGGUCAUCCUGACCAUUCUGCUGUCCCGGAUGUAAGGCCAUGCUGGAACUGCAUUUUGCAUCAUGGUUGAAAGAUUUGUGCAGCGGCAUCCAGACAUAUAUAACACCCCAUUCAUACGGGGCGUCGGCGUCAACGCCUCUCGUUUACUCUGAAUGGAGUGAUGUCAAGUGUUGGCAAAAUUAAUUGUGGGUCCGUUGCUCAUGGCAGAAGUUGAAAACUUUUCAAGCGCAAAUGCCGCCGUCCUCCAAUCAGAA
This is a long non-coding RNA of Cyprinus carpio carpio, 694 nucleotides long. The record is from Ensembl. NCBI's taxonomy places the organism in Eukaryota, Metazoa, Chordata, Actinopteri, Cypriniformes, Cyprinidae.